Molecule: ribosomal RNA, 433 nt
Filed under: uncultured bacterium
Lineage: Bacteria
Description: partial 16S ribosomal RNA
Rfam family: Bacterial small subunit ribosomal RNA
Source: RNAcentral
GACGAACGCUGGCGGCAUGCCUAACACAUGCAAGUCGAACGAAAACUUCGGGUCUAGUGGCGCACGGGUGCGUAACGCGUGGGAACCUGCCCUUAGGUUCGGAAUAACUCCCCGAAAGGGGUGCUAAUACCGGAUAAUGUCUUCGGACCAAAGAUUUAUCGCGUUUGGAUGUGCCCGCGUUGGAUUAGCUAGUUGGUAGGGUAAAAGCCUAAUAAGGCGACGAUCCAUAACUGGUCUCAGAGGAUGAUCAGCCACACUGGGACUGAGACACGGCCCAGACUCCUACGGGAGGCAGCAGUGGGGAAUAUUGGACCACGGGCGAAAGCCUGAUCCAGCAAUGCCGCGUGAGUGAUGAAGGCCUUAGGGUUGUAAAGCGCUUUUAACCGUGCUGAUAAUGACAGUACCGGGAGAAUAAGCCCCGGCUAACUCCGUG